Molecule: long non-coding RNA, 1711 nt
Filed under: Gossypium barbadense (sea-island cotton)
Lineage: Eukaryota; Viridiplantae; Streptophyta; Magnoliopsida; Malvales; Malvaceae
Description: long non-coding RNA (GBAR_LNC009916)
Source: RNAcentral
AAGGUCCACCUACAACACAACUAUUGGAUUUCUUUUGGCUGUUAUGCUCUCUUGCUAUAAAACAGAUCCAAGGAGAGGACUGAAAGAAUUCUAAUAUUGAAAUUUUUUACAUAUACUUGGAUUCAAUUGUUUUCGUUAAUCAUCUUUCAGAGAUCUUUAGUUGUUAGGAAGGCUAAUAAAUUCUUUCAUUCUUUGCACUGCUUCUGGCAAGCCCUUUGCUCCCUAAGGAAUGAAACAACACUUACAAGAAUGAAACAAAUUUGAUUUUAAAAUGAUGCUUACUUUUAUUAUUAUCAGUAGUUCUGAGCAAUAAGUGAUUUCUGGGCAUGAACAUUAUAUUUGGAUAUUGAAAUAUGCAUAUUUCUUCUUCUUCUUCCUCCCAACUAAAGACUAUUUCCUUGGUUCUUUUCAGCAGCAAAAGGAGACUGAAAGAAUGAUUGCUGUAUGCACAGACACAACUCAGAAGGUAGAUUCUAGCUACCUUUAUUCUUAUACAAAUCCUUUAGAUUAUGCUCGGAGCAAGAGUUGAAGAAGGGCCAGAUUAUUGUGUAAUCACUCCUCCAUCCGAGAAAUUAAACUAGACAGCAAUCGUGAUGAUCGCUGAAUGGCCUUGGCAUUCUCUCUUGCAGCCUUCCCUGACUUGAUUUGAAGUUGUCGACAAAGAAUAACUGAGAGAGGUUCAUCCCACUGUCAUUAAAACAAGAGAAUAAAGCAAAUUCAGCCUUGCAUUUGAUGUCAGCUUUUAAUCUUUGAUAGUCUCCUAUCAUGGGCAAGUUGAGUUUGCCAUGAUAGCUUCCUAAAGUGUAACUCCUUUUUCUGCUUAGAGCGAUGGAUGACAUGGUGUUUAAUUCUUGCCAUGAAGACUGUAAUAUUAAACAGAAUGAAACUCAACUGAGGAUUGAUUCAUUGAAUAUUUCAAGGGCUCUCACCAUUUUUUUCUUUGAGGCCUGCAACACAGAUUUGCCUUCCAUGUCUAUGAAAACAGGGAAUUUUCUUUUAUAUUUUGCACACAUACAAUUUCAGUUGAAACAUUAUUGUGAGAACUUGGAAAAGAAGUUAGUAUAAUCUAUGGAGCGGCAGUUUAGAUUGCCGUAACAAUAAGAGGAAGAAGCCGACAAUGGCAGCGGAUUCAGUAACCAGAAGGGAACUUGUUUGAAAGGGAUAGCUACGGUUGAUCAUGGGAUAAGCGUAUUUUCCAUAAAUGAUAGAAAAACAUGCACUUUUUACUAGUUCCUGGUUACAUUAACUAGCCAGGCAUGGAACUUGUUGCCUAUUUGCCAGCUCUAAAGUAAGGACAACUUAAAGACAGCUUCCUUUCCACCAGAUCCUCACAUGGGGUUGGUGGAAGCCGUGAGGAAAUUCAAUGCUAGAAAUUGUCACAUGUUUUUCAAGAACAAGGAUGAAGAUGAAGAUGAUGGGUGAAGGGGCAAUGCGUAAGGAGGUUUUUGGUCAGAGUUUGGUGUAAAUCUUGAAGCUCACUCCUCUUUAAUUUUGAUGGGCUUGUAAAUGAAGUAAAGCUUUGUUUGAACAAGCUUAGUGUAAUUCUUUCUUCAGAUUUUAACAAUGUGAAUUGCUAUCUACAAUCCACAUGAUGCUAGCUUAGCUUACAUAAAUUACAAUCCAAGAUUUCUAUAGAAAAUUCCAGAGGAAAGUUGGUUGCUUUUGCCUUACACUGCAAUAAUAAUAAUAAUAAUAACUACAGUAUUUGUAG